CGUGUAGGCGGUAUGGUAAGUUGGACGUGAAAGCUCCUGGCUCAACUGGGAGAGGUCGUUCAAAACUGCCACACUUGAGGACGGUAGAGGAGAGUGGAAUUCCGGGUGUAGUGGUGAAAUGCGUAGAUAUCCGGAGGAACACCAGUGGCGAAGGCGGCUCUCUGGGCCGAUCCUGACGCUAAGACGCGAAAGCUAGGGUAGCAAACAGGAUUAGAUACCCUGGUAGUCC
Molecule: ribosomal RNA, 229 nt
Filed under: uncultured bacterium
Lineage: Bacteria
Description: partial 16S ribosomal RNA
Rfam family: Bacterial small subunit ribosomal RNA
Source: RNAcentral